GCUAGCGGCAUGCUUAACACAUGCAAGUCGAACGGCAGCGCAGGAGCUUGCUCCUUGGCGGCGAGUGGCGACGGGUGAGUAACGCGUAGGAAUCUACCUUGUGAGGGGGACAACCCGGGGAAACUCGGGCUAAUACCGCAUAAUCUCUACGGAGCAAAGUGGGGGAUCUUCGGGACCUCACGCCAUAAGAUGAGCCUGCGUUGGAUUAGCUUGUGGUGGGUAAAGGCCUACCAAGGCGACGAUCCAUAGCUGGUCUGAGAGGACGAUCAGCCACACUGGGACUGAGACACGGCCCAGACUCCUACGGGAGGCAGCAGUGGGGAAUAUUGGACAAUGGGCGAAAGCCUGAUCCAGCAAUGCCGCGUGUGUGAAGAAGGCCUUAGGGUUGUAAAGCACUUUCAGUAGAGAAGAAAGGCUCAAAGUUAAUAGCUUUGAGAGUUGACAUUAUCUACAGAAGAAGCACUGGCUAACUCUGUG
This 477-nucleotide ribosomal RNA is filed under the name uncultured bacterium. Its description in RNAcentral is "bacterial SSU rRNA". It matches the Rfam family "Bacterial small subunit ribosomal RNA", at positions 35 to 507 of the family's 1533-position model. The record is from RNAcentral.